Molecule: ribosomal RNA, 253 nt
Filed under: uncultured bacterium
Lineage: Bacteria
Description: partial 16S ribosomal RNA
Rfam family: Bacterial small subunit ribosomal RNA
Source: RNAcentral
UACGUAGGUCGCAAGCGUUGUCCGGAUUUACUGGGCGUAAAGAGCGCGCAGGCGGCUGGUCAAGUCCGAUGUGAAAUCUCCCGGCUCAACUGGGAAACUGCAUCGGAAACUGAUCGACUUGAAGAUGGGAGAGGGUAGUGGAAUUCCCGGUGUAGUGGUGAAAUGCGUAGAUAUCGGGAGGAACACCAGUGGCGAAGGCGACUACCUGGCCCAUUCUUGACGCUGAGGCGCGAAAGCUAGGGGAGCGAACGGG